CCUACGGGAGGCAGCAGUGGGGAAUAUUGCACAAUGGGCGAAAGCCUGAUGCAGCGACGCCGCGUGAGGGAUGACGGCCUUCGGGUUGUAAACCUCUUUCAGCAGGGAAGAAGCGCAAGUGACGGUACCUGCAGAAGAAGCACCGGCUAACUACGUGCCAGCAGCCGCGGUAAUACGUAGGGUGCGAGCGUUGUCCGGAAUUAUUGGGCGUAAAGAGCUCGUAGGCGGUCUGUCGCGUCGGAUGUGAAAGCCCGGGGCUUAACCCCGGGUCUGCAUUCGAUACGGGCAGACUAGAGUGUGGUAGGGGUAGAUCGGAAUUCCUGGUGUAGCGGUGAAAUGCGCAGAUAUCAGGAGGAACACCGGUGGCGAAGGCGGAUCUCUGGGCCAUUACUGACGCUGAGGAGCGAAAGCGUGGGGAGCGAACAGGAUUAGAUACCCUGGUAGUCCACGCCGUAAACGUUGGGAACUAGGUAGUUGGCGACAUUCCACGUCGUCGGUGCCGCAGCUAACGCAUUAGUUCCCGCUGGGGAGUACGGCCGCAGGCUAAACGUCAAAGGAAUUGACGG
Molecule: ribosomal RNA, 566 nt
Filed under: uncultured bacterium
Lineage: Bacteria
Description: bacterial SSU rRNA
Rfam family: Bacterial small subunit ribosomal RNA
Source: RNAcentral